RNAcentral lists this unclassified non-coding RNA (57 nucleotides) under Sorangium cellulosum So ce56. RNAcentral describes it as "sce_snoPyro_CD_12". The record is from RNAcentral. Lineage: Bacteria; Pseudomonadati; Myxococcota; Polyangiales; Polyangiaceae.
GGCUCGGAUCACCUCCCUGCUCGUCACCUGCUCGGCGAGGGGAUCCGCGCCUUCUCC